This 1567-nucleotide long non-coding RNA is filed under the name Scophthalmus maximus (turbot). RNAcentral's name for it is "lncRNA (ENSSMAG00000036425.1)". The record is from RNAcentral. Lineage: Eukaryota; Metazoa; Chordata; Actinopteri; Pleuronectiformes; Scophthalmidae.
AUGUCUCGGCUUCUGAGGCUCCUCUCGGCGGUCGCUCUGCCUCUGUGCCGGGCUGGAGGAGCCCGAGCUCGGCUCUCUGCGGCGAGGGCAAGCUGGCUCUUCGCAGCCGGGUAUCGGAGCUCCGCCGCCCCAAACGUCUGUCGGACUCCAGCUAACUUCCUGUCCGGUCGCAGAUUCCAGUCGGCUCAGCGACGACUGUACUCCAGUGAACCCAAAGGUGAGAACUGCGGUGUAUCCAAAACAAAAACACGGGAGCGUGCACAUUGAAUAAUGUUAUGUUUCCACAGACUGCCGCUUACUCUCAACAUUUUCUCAUAUCAUUGAUGCUAAACCAAAGACAGACCAGGGGUCCUCAGGGAAUAAGCUGUGUUGCCUUUUUUUGGUAUUAGAAAUUUCUUUUGUGCAAAUUGAGGAUUACAAGCCCUUUAUUAUGAAAAGUUUAUUUGAUAAAUGAAGAUUUAUAUACAAGACAAUGUUUUCAAAUAUCCAUGUUAUUAUUGGGAUAAAUGAAAAGUCUAUCAUUAAUUAUUAAGACAAUUCCAGGGUGAAUUGAGAUUUUGUGUGUUUGUUUUUUGUCUGCAUUCACCACCGUCCAGGAUGUUUUGAGUCGGUUCCAGCAGGUUCAUUCACUCAUAUUUACUUUUUCAGACUGCAGCAUCACAGAUGUUUAAUAUGGUAACUAAAUCAACCAGGUAAUGUGAGCAAAGAUGGGAAAUGUUGACAUUUUCUGUAUUCUGAGACUGUUGGAUGUGACACUGUUGAUUCUAAAUAGAUGAUUUGGCAGCAGGUUUAAGUUUUCAUAUUAUGAAACAGCAUUUGUUGAGAAAAUAACAUGUUUAUAAUUUCAGUAUUUCACUGAAAGCAGAGGGAUGAAAACACACAGAGAAAUGGAAACCAGGGGAGACAAGGGGUCUGACAGGAUUGUAGUGGAUGGAGUGUAAUGGAUCCAAUAAUCUGUUGAGUUUCAGAUGGAGGAGGAGGAGGUGGAGGAAGAUCAGGAGGAGGGAAGAGAGGAGGAGGCGCAGGAAAAGACUGGUGGAGCCGAAUACAGAAGGUUUGUGACGUUUUAAAAAAAAAAGAUUGAAAGUCAAAUUUCCAUCACCACACUGGGGAAAUUUGUGAGAAACCUUUAUUCAAAGAAAACAACAUUCACAUUAAACGAGGGGGGACAAAAAUAACUGUCUUGGUAUAAUGUCCUAUGAAUGCUAAAUAUUAUCAAAUGAUUACUCGAUAGAUCAUUCAGCCAAUCAACAUUUUGACAAAUUUGAUAUUUGCUCCUGCUUCUCAAAAGGCUGCUACUUUUCCCUCAUUUAGCAUAAAUUAAACUGAAUUUCUUUUGGUUUUGAACAGUUUGUCAUAUAAACAAGAUUGUCACUUUUGAAUCUAGAAAGUUUUGACAUUCUCAGGCCUUUUGACAGUUUUCUGAUGUUUUACUGACUAAACCAUUUAAUGAUCAAUUGACAAAAUUGAUAAUUUCCCCAUAAUGAAUAAACUGACUAUGUUUACAUGGCAACCAAUAAUUUGACUAUUGAGCUUACUCUGGGGAAUGUUAUGAUGUUUACAUGAG